UUUAGCAGAUGUGGUACGCUAUUAUAUGUCAUUUCUCAGCUCUUGAAAAGCUUUGGUUCACCUCAAAAUAGUGUAUAAAUACCAUAAAAUGAUUGGCCCACUGAUGUCGAUGUAACCGAUGUGAAACGGCUAGCUAGUUAGCGGUGGUGCGCGCUAAUAGCCUUUCAAACGGUGACGUCACUCGCUCUGAGACCUUGAAGUAGUGGUUCCCCCUUUGCUCUGCAAGGACCGCGGCUUUUGUGGAGCGAUGGGUAACGAUGCUUCGUGGGUGACUGUUGUUGACGUGUGCAGAGGGUCCCUGGUUCGCGCCCGGGUCGAGGCGAGGGGACGGACUAAAGUUAUACUGUUACAUCGACAUGGAUCUCCAUGCUUUCCUAUGGCUCUGUAACGUUCUAUUUUAAUGUUUGUCUCCGGAUGCUGUUUACAUUUUAAAGCAUUGUGACACAAUUGACUUUACCUGCCGUACAGUGUUGAUCCUUACGUAAACAACGGGUAGAAGGCUAAUUUAUCACAAUCCACUGCCAGCUAUACUAGAUAACAUAAUGGUUUAUUUAAUUUACUAUUGAAUUAAUUUGAUGUUUGAUUUUUGUUGCAGUUUGGAUGGAUAAAAAACAGAAUCGCUGUGGGCUCAACAUAUAUAAAUGAGAAGCAGGUCAAAAGGAGUUGAUGCAUCAUAUUGCAGAAGUGGAGAGAAACAGAUUCUCAGAGACAAUCUGAAAAAACACCACAUUUCUCUCCGUCGUGUCAGAUGGCUCCACAGGCGGUUUAAGUGAAAGACGAGGAGUUAGAUUAUGUCGGAUUCUGUCACAAGGGCAAGAUCGAGUCGAAGUUUGUUGGCAUCAAGUCAGGAGGAGAAGAUAGACGUGACAUAAGCAACGCCAUCAGUGCCAUCAUGGAGGGAGUGCGUGAAGAGUGGGCGAGCAAGUUGGUCGCUCUGGGGAACAGAUGGAGCUGCUGUGAUGACCAGAGCCAACGAUGGUGUGGUCAGCCGGCUGAAGGGGGACAGGACCUACAUCAUCGACAUCCACUUGUAUGGCACACCGCCUUGAACUGACCUGUUCUGAUUGCCAUCUGGUCCAACGUGAUGUUUCAGAAUGACCUCCUCGGUGGGCUCUACACCUUCUACCAGUCCACUGAACAGGGCAAACCUGGUAAACAGCUGCCAGGCUCUUGGGCACACACCACUGGUGCCCACCAGAAUUGGUGGGACACGAUAGAUAGGACACCUACUGCGUAGACUGGACCACUUCCUGUGAGGUUUGAGGGGCGUGUCCAGCACCUGGAACAGAUUCAAUCUGCUGAUGCCCAAAAUGUCUGAGAUCCUUGUCCUCCUAAACAUAAUUUGGAAACUCUUGGAGGUGAGAGGUCGGGGAUGUCUUCUCCUCUGUUUCACUGACUGAUACGAGGAGAGCGUCACGCCUGCUCCCGCUUCCCCUCCCUGGCGCUCGAAGGCGCCAGGCUCCCCAGCAUUACGCACUCCUGCCACCAGCAUUACGCACUCCUGCCACCAUCAGUACGUACACCUGCCUUCCCCCCCGUCAUGAGCAUCAGCGAUUACUGGACUCACCUGGACUCAAUCACCUGUGUCAUUACCUCCGCUAUAUCUGUCUGUUCCCAAGAUCUCUUCCCCGCUUCAGGAUUCAUGUUUAUUUGUCUUUGCGUACCCGAUUCUGACGCUGUCUCAGUCCUGUUUGAUGUCUGUUCUAUAUUAAAUGUUCUACUUCUCGUA
Long non-coding RNA from Salvelinus fontinalis (brook trout), 1729 nucleotides. RefSeq lists it as uncharacterized. The transcript has 2 exons. The record is from RefSeq and is a predicted model, not a curated record. Lineage: Eukaryota; Metazoa; Chordata; Actinopteri; Salmoniformes; Salmonidae.